Long non-coding RNA from Folsomia candida, 1961 nucleotides. RefSeq lists it as uncharacterized. NCBI's taxonomy places the organism in Eukaryota, Metazoa, Arthropoda, Collembola, Entomobryomorpha, Isotomidae. The record is from RefSeq and is a predicted model, not a curated record. The transcript is spliced from 6 exons.
ACGGACAAAAGAUAUUUCGUUCAGUGUAACGGAGGCGGCCGAGCUGGUUGUAUGCCGAAUAAAAUUCUUCUGGAGGCAUGGCCGGCCGACAUUUUUCUAGUUAACUAACUCCAUCGACUAGAAAGUUAAUGUUUUACUAAAGUGGGAGGAGGUGAAAGUUAAGUAAGCAAAGGAUCUUGUGUAGUGGGAGGAGGUGGUGACCUGAUGUGACGUGAAUUUAAGGAAGUUUGAAGAAAGUGUAAGUGCUGACGUUUUUUAUGGGAGAAAAUUAUGACGCAUAUCACACUUACAACGAUUUGGAACCGAAGAUGGGAAACGACUAAAGUUGGUGGAGGCGAGCGAUGACGUGAUUUUUAAUCGGCUUUACACUGCUGCACUUUGAGUUUUAUGCUGAGGAUGGUAAUCCGCACCGGAAAACUUUCGGAUUUGGUCAAAUUAGUCUUCCCAUUUGCUAUUAAUUGAUUUACCUCUCAUCCUGCGACGACGACGUGUCAACACUCCGGCGGCGUCAAAGUUUCCUUCAUCUGUGUCAUCGUGACCUUUUCUUCUUGGUUGGAGCCGAUUCUUUCUCGCAACGGAACUGAAUUAUUUCACAUCCUUCGACAUGAUAUGGACGACGUCAAAUUUCUACUUUCCACUUUUCUCUGCAUCAUCUCGUAACAGCAAGAAAUCAAAGGCAAAUUUUUAUUUAGUUUGUAUUGUAGAGCAAAUAAGUUUAAAGAUGUAGACUUGAACAAGGUACCAUUCGGUACCAAGUACUAAUCAAGGUACCAGCCAGUUAGUUAAUUAGAUCAAUUUGGGAAAAUUGACUUUAGUAUUCUUGAGUUUUUUUAAAUCCUGAAUCUCGGUAUGUGUAAAAGUGACCCAGAUUUAUUACUAACUACAUUUUACAAGUCAAAUAUGUUAGGAUAAUCAGAUUUUGAUUCGGUGAAACUCGUUAUAUAGCUCGAUAGGCACCAGGAAAAUUAAUAAAAGAUGGUUACCCUCACUAUGGGAUAAUCUAGCUACUUUUGGACGUCAUUUCUAAUUAAUUAAUACAACAAUAAAAGGGAAUAUUCGACACCAAUUAGAAGAGGAGGAGGGCUAAUCACUUGACCUGCAAGGUAUUUAGGUCAAGUUUUUAGGAAAGUAAUUAGGGAAACAAUAAAAGGGAAUAUUCGACACCAAUUAAACCGCGACUUGUCCUAAAAGGUAUUUAGGCCAUAAUUUAUAGAACGUAAUUAAUUACACAAUAAAAGGGAAUAUUCGACACCAAUUAUAAUAGGAAAGUAAUUAACGAAGCAAUAAAAGGGAAUAUUCGACACCAAUUAAUUCGCGACAUGACCUACAAGGUAUUUAGGUCAUAAUUUAGGGAAGGUAAUUAAUUACACAAUAAAAGGGAAUAUUCGACACCAAUUAAACCGCGACAUGACCUUACAGGUAUUUAGGUCAUUACUUGAAGAACGUAAUUAAUUACACAAUAAAAGGGAAUAUUCGACACCAAUUAAACCGCGACAUGACCUUACAGGUAUUUAGGUCAUUACUUGAAGAACGUAAUUAAUUACACAAUAAAAGGGAAUAUUCGACACCAAUUAAACCGCGACAUGACCUUACAGGUAUUUAGGUCAUUACUUGAAGAACGUAAUUAAUUACACAAUAAAAGGGAAUAUUCGACACCAAUUAUACUAGAAAAGUAAUUAACGCAGCAAUAAAAGGGAAUAUUCGACACCAAUUAAAUCGCGACAUGACCUUACAUGUAUUUAGGUCAUUAUUUAGACAAGGUAAUUAAUUACACAAUAAAAGGGAAUAUUCGACACCAAUUAACUUAAUCAGUUAAACUUGUUACAAGUUUGUAUUUUAAUAUUGGAUAAAUUUUGUUACUGAUUUUAAAUAACAAUUGUUUGCACUACAGAUUGAAUUUAGCCCUACCUGUACCGAUACUUGUUUUUGAAAUUAAUAAAAUAAUCAGCAUAUAAAUGAUA